Non-coding RNA from Picea glauca (white spruce), 121 nucleotides. The record is from Rfam. Lineage: Eukaryota; Viridiplantae; Streptophyta; Pinopsida; Pinales; Pinaceae.
AUAUGCCUACAACAUAGUGUUAAUGCAUUGUAUCCCAUUAUAAAUCCGCAGUUAAGUGCACUCAGGCUAGAGUAGUAUUGGGAUGGGUGACUUCUCGGGAAGUUCUAGUGUUUUACAUGCC